RNAcentral lists this unclassified non-coding RNA (586 nucleotides) under Xanthomonas citri pv. fuscans. Its description in RNAcentral is "partial contains 16S ribosomal RNA, 16S-23S ribosomal RNA intergenic spacer, and 23S ribosomal RNA". The stretch from base 242 to 315 matches the Rfam family "tRNA". The record is from RNAcentral. Lineage: Bacteria; Pseudomonadati; Pseudomonadota; Gammaproteobacteria; Lysobacterales; Lysobacteraceae.
UAAGUCGUAACAAGGUAGCCGUAUCGGAAGGUGCGGCUGGAUCACCUCCUUUUGAGCAUGACGUCAUCGUCCUGUCGGGCGUCCUCACAAAUUACCUGCAUUCAGAGAUGCGUAUCGGCACAGGCCGGUAUGCGAAAGUCCCAUCAUGGGGCCUUAGCUCAGCUGGGAGAGCACCUGCUUUGCAAGCAGGGGGUCGUCGGUUCGAUCCCGACAGGCUCCACCAUUUGAGUGAAACGACUUUGGGUCUGUAGCUCAGGUGGUUAGAGCGCACCCCUGAUAAGGGUGAGGUCGGUGGUUCGAGUCCUCCCAGACCCACCACUCUGAAUGUAGUGCACACUUAAGAAUUUAUAUGGAUCAGCGUUGAGGCUGAGACAUGUUCUUUUAUAACUUGUGACGUAGCGAGCGUUUGAGAUAUCUAUCUAAACGUGUCGUUGAGGCUAAGGCGGGGACUUCGAGUCCCUAAAUAAUUGAGUCGUAUGUUCGCGUUGGUGGCUUUGUACCCCACACAACACGACAUAUGAUCCUGAGGCAACUUGGGGUUAUAUGGUCAAGCGAAUAAGCGCACACGGUGGAUGCCUUGGCACAA